RNAcentral lists this ribosomal RNA (549 nucleotides) under uncultured Glomus. Its description in RNAcentral is "SSU rRNA". It matches the Rfam family "Eukaryotic small subunit ribosomal RNA", at positions 548 to 1098 of the family's 1831-position model. Lineage: Eukaryota; Fungi; Glomeromycota; Glomeromycetes; Glomerales; Glomeraceae. The record is from RNAcentral.
UUGGAGGGCAAGUCUGGUGCCAGCAGCCGCGGUAAUUCCAGCUCCAAUAGCGUAUAUUAAAGUUGUUGCAGUUAAAAAGCUCGUAGUUGAAUUUCGGGGUUAGUAGGUUGGUCAUGCCUCUGGUAUGUACUGAUCUCACUGAUUCCUCCUUCCUGAUGAACCGUAAUGCCAUUAAUUUGGUGUUGCGGGGAAUUUGGACUGUUACUUUGAAAAAAUUAGAGUGUUUAAAGCAGGCUAACGCUUGAAUACAUUAGCAUGGAAUAAUGAAAUAGGACGUUCGAUCCUAUUUUGUUGGUUUCUAGGAUUGACGUAAUGAUUAAUAGGGAUAGUUGGGGGCAUUAGUAUUCAAUUGUCAGAGGUGAAAUUCUUGGAUUUAUUGAAGACUAACUACUGCGAAAGCAUUUGCCAAGGAUGUUUUCAUUAAUCAAGAACGAAAGUUAGGGGAUCGAAGACGAUCAGAUACCGUCGUAGUCUUAACCAUAAACUAUGCCGACUAGGGAUCGGAUGAUGUUAAUUUUUUAAUGACUCAUUCGGCGCCUUACGGGAAAC